GGGGGCAGGACUGCGCCGGAGCUUGCUUCCUGCCAGGCACCGUUCCAGGCACUGCAUUCUCUCCUGCGUCCCUUCAUCUUUAGGUCCUCAAACAGUCACUGGGCGCCGAGUGUUGCAUCCACACGCACCAUGCAGAGCAAGUAAAGAACAGGAGUGAAGUAUGGAAAAUGCCAAGAAGAGCCCAGGCACGUGUUAGGUCUGAUACGUGGUGACUGCGCUAUUCGUGGCCGGUGUCCUGUGACUAGCUGCCAGGAGACUGUGUCCAGGCUGGCUUGCUGGAAGGAGCCAAGAGACCUGUGGAGAACAGCCAGGGCUUCCCAGACCAGCCCACAGCCAAGAUCAGCAGAGCCACCUACCCAACCUGCCCCGUAGCACAGACAACAGAAGAAUCACCCAGCCAACCUGUGGAUUGGCCCGGCUCACUACAGGUGCCCUGGGACAGUCAUGGAACAAGAACUGGAAAAGGAGAUGCAACCUGGGAAGGACUGAGACUCUACCUUCCUCUGCUGAGCCCAGCUCUGGUUCCCAUGGUAACCACCAUGGCGGGUCAGCCCAGCUCCCAAGCCCCAGCAUGGCCUGGCCUGACUCGCUGCACAUGACAGACAGGCUGACGGGCUUCCCUGGCAGCUCAGGAGCAGACGACGGGGGCUCUGUGUGUCCAAUCUGAGUGUCCCACUGAUGGAGAAAUACAUCAUCUGUCCCCUGCAGAUGAGCAGCCCGGCACAGACCCGGGAUAAGGCUCCAUGUCUUGCAACAGGGUGAGCUGGGAAGUUGCUGAGCAUUUGUCAGGAACCAGAAAGAAUGUGUUAUGGGGGCCACAACCACAAGCCAGACCCGGGUUCCCAACCCCUGGG
This is a non-coding RNA of Microcebus murinus (gray mouse lemur), 854 nucleotides long. NCBI's taxonomy places the organism in Eukaryota, Metazoa, Chordata, Mammalia, Primates, Cheirogaleidae. The record is from RefSeq and is a predicted model, not a curated record.